RNAcentral lists this ribosomal RNA (398 nucleotides) under uncultured bacterium. Its description in RNAcentral is "bacterial SSU rRNA". It matches the Rfam family "Bacterial small subunit ribosomal RNA", at positions 362 to 776 of the family's 1533-position model. The record is from RNAcentral.
UAUUGCGCAAUGGAGGAAACUCUGACGCAGUGACGCCGCGUAUAGGAAGAAGGUUUUCGGAUUGUAAACUAUUGUCGUUAGGGAAGAGAAAGGACAGUACAUAAGGAGGAAGCUCCGGCUAACUACGUGCCAGCAGCCGCGGUAAUACGUAGGGAGCGAGCGUUAUCCGGAAUUAUUGGGUGUAAAGGGUGCGUAGACGGGAAAGCAAGUUAGUUGUGAAAUCCCUCGGCUUAACUGAGGAACUGCAACUAAAACUACUUUUCUUGAGUGCAGGAGAGGUAAGUGGAAUUCCUAGUGUAGCGGUGAAAUGCGUAGAUAUUAGGAGGAACACCAGUGGCGAAGGCGACUUACUGGACUGUAACUGACGUUGAGGCACGAAAGUGUGGGGAGCAAACAGG